RNAcentral lists this ribosomal RNA (433 nucleotides) under uncultured bacterium. Its description in RNAcentral is "partial 16S ribosomal RNA". It matches the Rfam family "Bacterial small subunit ribosomal RNA", at positions 29 to 507 of the family's 1533-position model. The record is from RNAcentral.
AACGAACGCUGGCGGCAUGCCUAACACAUGCAAGUCGAACGAAACCUUCGGGCUUAGUGGCGCACGGGUGCGUAACGCGUGGGAAUCUGCCCCUUGCUUCGGAAUAACAGAUAGAAAUGUAUGCUAAUAACGGUUGAAGUCUUAGGACCAAAGAUGUAUCGGCAAGGGAUGAGCCCGCGUAGGAUUAGGUAGUUGGUGGGGUAAAGGCCUACCAAGCCGACGAUCCUUAGCUGGUCGGUGAGGAUGAUCAGCCACACUGGGACUGAGACACGGCCUAGACUCCGACGCGGGGCAGCAGAGUGGAAUAUUGGGCGAUGGACGCAAGUCUAAUACAGCAAUGCCGCGUAAGUGAGGAAUGCCGUAGUGUUGUAAAGCUCUCUGACCAGGGAUGAUAAUGACAGUACCGGGUGAAUAAGCACCGGCUAACUCCGUG